Molecule: ribosomal RNA, 460 nt
Filed under: uncultured bacterium
Lineage: Bacteria
Description: bacterial SSU rRNA
Rfam family: Bacterial small subunit ribosomal RNA
Source: RNAcentral
AACAGGAUUAGAUACCCGGGUAGUCCACGCUGUAAACGAUGAUUACUCGAUGUGUGCAAUAUAUCGUACGCGUCUAAGCAAAAGCAUUAAGUAAUCCACCUGGGGAGUACGGCGGCAACGCUGAAACUCAAAGGAAUUGACGGGGGCCCGCACAAGCGGAGGAACAUGUGGUUUAAUUCGAUGAUACGCGAGGAACCUUACCUGGGUUUGAACGUAGGACGACCGGUGCCGAAAGGUGCCUUCUCUUCGGAGCGGCCUACGAGGUGCUGCAUGGUUGUCGUCAGCUCGUGCCGUGAGGUGUCGGAUUAAGUUCCAUAACGAGCGCAACCCUUAUCGUUAGUUGCCAUCGGGUCAUGCCGGGGACUCUAACGAAACUGCCGGUGUAAACCGUGAGGAAGGUGGGGAUGACGUCAAAUCAGCACGGCCCUUACAUCCAGGGCCACACACGUGUUACAAUGGC